This 441-nucleotide ribosomal RNA is filed under the name uncultured bacterium. RNAcentral describes it as "bacterial SSU rRNA". It matches the Rfam family "Bacterial small subunit ribosomal RNA", at positions 335 to 769 of the family's 1533-position model. The record is from RNAcentral.
ACUCCUACGGGAGGCAGCAGUGGGGAAUAUUGCACAAUGGGCGCAAGCCUGAUGCAGCCAUGCCGCGUGUGUGAAGAAGGCCUUCGGGUUGUAAAGCACUUUCAGUCGUGAGGAAGGUAGUGUAGUUAAUAGCUGCAUUAUUUGUACGUUAGCGACAGAAGAAGCACCGGCUAACUCCGUGCCAGCAGCCGCGGUAAUACGGAGGGUGCGAGCGUUAAUCGGAAUUACUGGGCGUAAAGCGCAUGCAGGUGGUUUGUUAAGUCAGAUGUGAAAGCCCGGGGCUCAACCUCGGAAUAGCAUUUGAAACUGGCAGACUAGAGUACUGUAGAGGGGGUAGAAUUUCAGGUGUAGCGGUGAAAUGCGUAGAGAUCUAGAAGGAAUACCGGUGGCGAAGGCGGCCCCUGGACAGAUACUGACACUCAGAUGCGAAAGCGUGGGAGC